AGACGGAGGGGGCUAGCGUUGUUCGGAAUUACUGGGCGUAAAGCGCGCGUAGGCGGUCCGUUUAGUUAGGCGUGAAAGGCCUGGGCUCAACCCGGGAACUGCGUUUAAAACUGGCGGGCUAGAGUCCGGGAGAGGGUGGCGGAAUUCCCAGUGUAGAGGUGAAAUUCGUAGAUAUUGGGAAGAACACCAGUGGCGAAGGCGGCCACCUGGCCCGGUACUGACGCUGAGGUGCGAAAGCGUGGGGAGCAAACAGGAUUAGAAACCCUAGUAGUCC
Molecule: ribosomal RNA, 274 nt
Filed under: uncultured bacterium
Lineage: Bacteria
Description: partial 16S ribosomal RNA
Rfam family: Bacterial small subunit ribosomal RNA
Source: RNAcentral